UACGAAGGGGGCUAGCGUUGCUCGGAAUCACUGGGCGUAAAGGGUGCGUAGGCGGGGCUUUAAGUCAGGGGUGAAAUCCUGGAGCUCAACUCCAGAACUGCCUUUGAUACUGGCGAGCUUGAGUUCGGGAGAGGUGAGUGGAACUGCGAGUGUAGAGGUGAAAUUCGUAGAUAUUCGCAAGAACACCAGUGGCGAAGGCGGCUCACUGGCCCGAUACUGACGCUGAGGUGCGAAAGCGUGGGGAGCAAACAGG
RNAcentral lists this ribosomal RNA (253 nucleotides) under uncultured bacterium. Its description in RNAcentral is "partial 16S ribosomal RNA". It matches the Rfam family "Bacterial small subunit ribosomal RNA", at positions 524 to 776 of the family's 1533-position model. The record is from RNAcentral.